GACGAACGCUGGCGGCGUGCCUAAUACAUGCAAGUAGAACGCUGAAGAGAGGAGCUUGCUCUUCUUGGAUGAGUUGCGAACGGGUGAGUAACGCGUAGGUAACCUGCCUUGUAGCGGGGGAUAACUAUUGGAAACGAUAGCUAAUACCGCAUAACAAUGGAUGACACAUGUCAUUUAUUUGAAAGGGGCAAUUGCUCCACUACAAGAUGGACCUGCGUUGUAUUAGCUAGUAGGUGAGGUAACGGCUCACCUAGGCGACGAUACAUAGCCGACCUGAGAGGGUGAUCGGCCACACUGGGACUGAGACACGGCCCAGACUCCUACGGGAGGCAGCAGUAGGGAAUCUUCGGCAAUGGGGGCAACCCUGACCGAGCAACGCCGCGUGAGUGAAGAAGGUUUUCGGAUCGUAAAGCUCUGUUGUAAGUCAAGAACGAGUGUGAGAGUGGAAAGUUCACACUGUGACGGUAGCUUACCAGAAAGGGACGGCUAACUACGUGCCAGCAGCCGCGGUAAUACGUAGGUCCCGAGCGUUGUCCGGAUUUAUUGGGCGUAAAGCGAGCGCAGGCGGUUUGAUAAGUCUGAAGUUAAAGGCUGUGGCUCAACCAUAGUUCGCUUUGGAAACUGUCAAACUUGAGUGCAGAAGGGGAGAGUGGAAUUCCAUGUGUAGCGGUGAAAUGCGUAGAUAUAUGGAGGAACACCGGUGGCGAAAGCGGCUCUCUGGUCUGUAACUGACGCUGAGGCUCGAAAGCGUGGGGAGCGAACAGGAUUAGAUACCCUGGUAGUCCACGCCGUAGACGAUGAGUGCUAGGUGUUGGAUCCUUUCCGGGAUUCAGUGCCGCAGCUAACGCAUUAAGCACUCCGCCUGGGGAGUACGACCGCAAGGUUGAAACUCAAAGGAAUUGACGGGGGCCCGCACAAGCGGUGGAGCAUGUGGUUUAAUUCGAAGCAACGCGAAGAACCUUACCAGGUCUUGACAUCCCGAUGCUAUUUCUAGAGAUAGAAAGUUACUUCGGUACAUCGGUGACAGGUGGUGCAUGGUUGUCGUCAGCUCGUGUCGUGAGAUGUUGGGUUAAGUCCCGCAACGAGCGCAACCCCUAUUGUUAGUUGCCAUCAUUCAGUUGGGCACUCUAGCGAGACUGCCGGUAAUAAACCGGAGGAAGGUGGGGAUGACGUCAAAUCAUCAUGCCCCUUAUGACCUGGGCUACACACGUGCUACAAUGGUUGGUACAACGAGUUGCGAGUCGGUGACGGCAAGCUAAUCUCUUAAAGCCAAUCUCAGUUCGGAUUGUAGGCUGCAACUCGCCUACAUGAAGUCGGAAUCGCUAGUAAUCGCGGAUCAGCACGCCGCGGUGAAUACGUUCCCGGGCCU
Molecule: ribosomal RNA, 1369 nt
Filed under: uncultured bacterium
Lineage: Bacteria
Description: bacterial SSU rRNA
Rfam family: Bacterial small subunit ribosomal RNA
Source: RNAcentral